RNAcentral lists this ribosomal RNA (209 nucleotides) under uncultured Fusibacter sp. RNAcentral describes it as "partial 16S ribosomal RNA". It matches the Rfam family "Bacterial small subunit ribosomal RNA", at positions 1172 to 1382 of the family's 1533-position model. Lineage: Bacteria; Bacillati; Bacillota; Clostridia; Eubacteriales; Fusibacteraceae. The record is from RNAcentral.
GGUGGGGAUGACGUCAAAUCAUCAUGCCCUUAUGAUCUGGGCUACACACGUGCUACAAUGGCCGGUACAACGGGCAGCGAAGGAGCGAUCCGGAGCGAAUCCUAAAAGCCGGUCCCAGUUCGGAUUGCAGGCUGAAACUCGCCUACAUGAAGUUGGAGUUGCUAGUAAUCGCGAAUCAGAAUGUCGCGGUGAAUGCGUUCCCGGGUCUU